This 224-nucleotide long non-coding RNA is filed under the name Physcomitrium patens. RNAcentral describes it as "long non-coding RNA (PPAT_LNC009169)". The record is from RNAcentral. Lineage: Eukaryota; Viridiplantae; Streptophyta; Bryopsida; Funariales; Funariaceae.
CUUAAUUCAACCCAUAAUCCAUUCUACGAGUAUCAAUGCAACAAUACUUCCAUAUUCUUAUCCGUUCAUCUCCCACUUACUCUCUUUGUGGUUUAGAUAUAUUCAAUUAUUGAUCUCUAGGUUACCUAUUGUAUUCAAUUUCUCAAUUCAUUAUAUAGAAUUACGACUCUUACAGUUCUUCCCUCGAUCUCUCUUUCCUUAACUUCUUUAUCCUACCAAAAGAU